GAGCACGAAGGGGGCGGAGCCGGAGAACGUUUGAAGCGAGCAGGCUGUUGGGAGCCCAAGGAAGGGUGUUGCAGACUCUGCCUGGGAGAUGCCUGUGGAAAGGUUUCCUAGGAGAAGUCAUUGCUUAACACCUUUGAGCCUGAAGUUUCUCAUCUGGAAAAUGGCAGUGAUCGAACCAAUCUCGGGGAAGGAUUUAAAGAUACCUGCUGCUGUCGGGCUCUCUGCUGCUGGUGCGGAGCCUGCUUUGGAUCUUCUGUCCCCCU
This is a long non-coding RNA of Lynx canadensis (Canada lynx), 263 nucleotides long. RefSeq lists it as uncharacterized. NCBI's taxonomy places the organism in Eukaryota, Metazoa, Chordata, Mammalia, Carnivora, Felidae. The record is from RefSeq and is a predicted model, not a curated record. The transcript is spliced from 3 exons.